GCCAGACUGGUGUAGUGGUUUGAGCAUUGGACUAUGACUCUGGAGGCCAGGGUUUGAAUCCCAGUUCAGCUG
Phrynosoma platyrhinos (Desert horned lizard) is the source of this 72-nucleotide non-coding RNA. The record is from the annotation of a GenBank genome assembly. Lineage: Eukaryota; Metazoa; Chordata; Lepidosauria; Squamata; Phrynosomatidae.